This 71-nucleotide transfer RNA is filed under the name Dasyscopelus asper (prickly lanternfish). RNAcentral's name for it is "Myctophum asperum (prickly lanternfish) tRNA-Val". It matches the Rfam family "tRNA". From Rfam's summary of the family: Transfer RNA (tRNA) molecules are approximately 80 nucleotides in length. Their secondary structure includes four short double-helical elements and three loops (D, anti-codon, and T loops). Further hydrogen bonds mediate the characteristic L-shaped molecular structure. tRNAs have two regions of fundamental functional importance: the anti-codon, which is responsible for specific mRNA codon recognition, and the 3' end, to which the tRNAs corresponding amino acid is attached (by aminoacyl-tRNA synthetases). tRNAs cope with the degeneracy of the genetic code in two manners: having more than one tRNA (with a specific anti-codon) for a particular amino acid; and 'wobble' base-pairing, i.e. permitting non-standard base-pairing at the 3rd anti-codon position. Lineage: Eukaryota; Metazoa; Chordata; Actinopteri; Myctophiformes; Myctophidae. The record is from RNAcentral.
CGGAAUGUGGCUAAAUAGGAAAGCAACUCCUUUACACCGAGAUGAUGUUCGUGCAAUUCGGACCAUUCUGA